This 88-nucleotide transfer RNA is filed under the name Sulfitobacter sp. RNAcentral describes it as "tRNA-Ser". It matches the Rfam family "tRNA". From Rfam's summary of the family: Transfer RNA (tRNA) molecules are approximately 80 nucleotides in length. Their secondary structure includes four short double-helical elements and three loops (D, anti-codon, and T loops). The record is from RNAcentral. RNAcentral also lists the same sequence under 4 other names. Lineage: Bacteria; Pseudomonadati; Pseudomonadota; Alphaproteobacteria; Rhodobacterales; Roseobacteraceae.
GGAGGAUUGGCUGAGUGGUCGAAAGCGGCGGUUUUGAAAACCGUUGAGCCGAAAGGUUCCGCAGGUUCGAAUCCUGUGUCCUCCGCCA